RNAcentral lists this ribosomal RNA (1146 nucleotides) under Candidatus Nitrosopumilus sp. RNAcentral describes it as "Nitrosopumilus sp. partial 23S ribosomal RNA". It matches the Rfam family "Archaeal large subunit ribosomal RNA", at positions 1853 to 2987 of the family's 2987-position model. The record is from RNAcentral. Lineage: Archaea; Thermoproteati; Nitrososphaerota; Nitrososphaeria; Nitrosopumilales; Nitrosopumilaceae.
GAAUGGGGACCGCAGGUUGCAAUGACAAGGGGGUUUCGACUGUUUAAUAAAAACACAGGCGACUGCUAGUCCGAAAGGAUUUGUAUAGUCGCUGAAUCCUGGCCGGUGCCGGUACCUAAAACUUGGGUUCAACCGAGCUAAGGGCCGGUUAACGCCGGGAGUAACUCUGACUCUCUUAAGGUAGCCAAAUGCCUUGUCGGGUAAGUUCCGACGCGCAUGAAUGGAACAACGAGAGCCCCACUGUCCCCGCCUACAACCCGGUGAAGCCACAUAAGGUGGACGAACAGUCCAUCAACUUCCAUUGGGGAGAGAAGACCCCGUGGAGUUUUACUGCAGCUUGUGCUUGUGGUAUAGUAAGAAUUGCACAGGGUAUCUGGGAGCCAUGCUUAACAUUCCCCGGGAUGUUAAUGAAGCAACGAUGUAACACCAGACUCUUUUUGCAGUACCACUUAUCCAGUGAAGACCGGAGACACGUGCAGGUAGGCAGUUCGGCUGGGGCGGCACCCCUUUGAAAAGAUAUCAAAGGGGCCCAAAGUUGAGUUCAAACGGGGCAGAAAUCCGUUGAAGAGGGCAAAGCCAAAAACUCGACUGAAUGGAUUUCCAAACGCACGGAAUUCAUAGACGAAAGUCUGGCUUAGCGAUCCUUCGUGUGCCCACUAUUGGGGCCCGGAGGUGACAGAAAAAUUACCCCAGGGAUAACAGGCUCGUCGCGGGCGAGAGCUCCUAUCGACCCCGCGGUUUGGUACCUCGAUGUCGGCUUUUCCUAUCCUGGUCCUGCAGCAGGGGCCAAGGGUGAGGCUGCUCGCCUAUUAAAAGGGAACAUGAGCUGGGUUUAGACCGUCGUGAGACAGGUCGGUCUCUGCCUAAUGGAAGCGUGAAUAACUGAGGGGAAGUUGCUCCUAGUACGAGAGGAACAGAGCAGCGUGGCCACUGGUUUACCGGUUGUCUGAUAAGGCAGGCCGGGCAGCUAAGCCGUUUGGGCUAAGUGCUGAAAGCAUCUAAGCACGAAUCCCAUCCCGAGACAAGUUAUUCUUUCGUAAGAUGAAGGUCGGCAGCAAAAUACUGCGUUGAUAGGAAGGUGGUGUAGAUCACAAGCUUAGGCGAGUGGUGAGCCAGCCUUUACUAAUAGACCAACACAUCAGUUCA